CAGUCGCCGCGGGAAUACGUAGGUGGCAAGCGUUGUCCGGGAUUAUUGGGCGUAAAGGGCUCGCAGGCGGUUUCUUAAGUCUGAUGUGAAAGCCCCCGGCUCAACCGGGGAGGGUCAUUGGAAACUGGGAAACUUGAGUGCAGAAGAGGAGAGUGGAAUUCCACGUGUAGCGGUGAAAUGCGUAGAGAUGUGGAGGAACACCAGUGGCGAAGGCGACUCUCUGGUCUGUAACUGACGCUGAGGAGCGAAAGCGUGGGGAGCGAACAGGAUUAGAUACCCCUGUAGUCCCUGUCUCUUAUAC
RNAcentral lists this ribosomal RNA (301 nucleotides) under uncultured bacterium. Its description in RNAcentral is "partial 16S ribosomal RNA". It matches the Rfam family "Bacterial small subunit ribosomal RNA", at positions 509 to 807 of the family's 1533-position model. The record is from RNAcentral.